UUGACAGUACAGGAGACUGAAGUCCUCUGUAUAUCCGCAGGCCAGGCAUUGUACAGACAGCUUCCUUGCACAGCCUUACCCAUGAGCACAACCCUGGCCUGGAAGGGACCACCCUCUCUAGAGGUGGUAAGUAAUUUUUAUCCUAGCUCAGUCCUGGCUUCA
RNAcentral lists this small RNA (162 nucleotides) under Sphenodon punctatus (tuatara). RNAcentral's name for it is "TUC338 (ENSSPUG00000010365.1)". The record is from RNAcentral. Lineage: Eukaryota; Metazoa; Chordata; Lepidosauria; Sphenodontia; Sphenodontidae.